This is a long non-coding RNA of Homo sapiens (human), 310 nucleotides long. RefSeq lists it as uncharacterized. The transcript has 4 exons. The record is from RefSeq and is a predicted model, not a curated record. Lineage: Eukaryota; Metazoa; Chordata; Mammalia; Primates; Hominidae.
AUUCGGGGCUGUGAACAGGCGACUGCAAUCAGACUAGGGCUGAUGGCGUUGGGAGUCUUGCAGAGUUUGCACUGGCAAGGCAGGCUUUUUAAACCCUUCACUGCUCCACUGGAAACACCACCAAACUAAGGCCUUUGGGAUAAAAUGCCAGACAAGACACAGUCGUCGCCUUCAAGGGGAUUUAAGUCUAGCAGGAGUGGGAGAAGUUGAAAAGAACACAAGGAACACUGUUGACUCCCACUGUAUAAGAACUACAGUGCAUCUAUCUCCAUUAGCAUUGUCACACGGGUUUUAUAAAAUCAUAUUACAA